UACAGAGGGUGCAAACGUUGCUCGGAAUCACUGGGCGUAAAGCGCGUGUAGUCGGAUAGGCAAGUCGGGUGUGAAAUCCCUGGGCUCAACCCAGGAACUGCAUCCGAAACUGCCUGUCUUGAGUACUGGAGAGGGAAGCGGAAUUCCUGGUGUAGAGGUGAAAUUCGUAGAUAUCAGGAGGAACACCGGUGGCGAAGGCGGCUUCCUGGACAGUAACUGACGCUGAGACGCGAAAGCGUGGGGAGCAAACAGG
This 253-nucleotide unclassified non-coding RNA is filed under the name uncultured Myxococcales bacterium. RNAcentral's name for it is "contains 16S-23S intergenic spacer region". It matches the Rfam family "Bacterial small subunit ribosomal RNA", at positions 524 to 776 of the family's 1533-position model. Lineage: Bacteria; Pseudomonadati; Myxococcota; Myxococcia; Myxococcales. The record is from RNAcentral.